RNAcentral lists this long non-coding RNA (801 nucleotides) under Sarcophilus harrisii (Tasmanian devil). RNAcentral describes it as "lncRNA (ENSSHAG00000031485.1)". Lineage: Eukaryota; Metazoa; Chordata; Mammalia; Dasyuromorphia; Dasyuridae. The record is from RNAcentral.
UGCUUGGCGCCCAUUUUGUUUUGGGGCACAGUUCUCUGUACAGCUAUGGAAGGUCCCACUUUCCGUCGCUGCGUUAAGUUCUGGCAAAGCUCUCGGAGGUCGCCUGAGAUCGAGGCCAGACUCGGCUCGGGAGCCGGGCUGGCGAGGCUGGGUCUUCCGAGUUCCUCCGAGGCUCGGCCGAGCGUCCGGCGUUUCUCUAGUUUGGGCUUUCACAGCCAAGGGCUAAAUGAUGGGAGAGGGAAAAAGUUAAAGCUCCUCUGCCCCUCCCCUUCUCCCCCAUCUCCACGGUUUCUUAGAUUUGAAUUAUGUUGGAAUCAAUAUCAAUGUGGUCUAACAAUCUUGUUAAGAUGAGGAAACUGAGGCAGAAGUUAAAUAACAACUAUGGUCACACAGCUAUGAAUGUCUGAGGCUACACUUAAACUCAUCUCCCUAUAUCUACUACCUUAUCUACUACCUGGCUGCGUCUGUAUGGAGAGAAAGUGGAAUCAAAAAAGACACCUAGAUUGUGAGCCUAGGUGACUUGGAUGGCAUCUUCAACAGCAAUAGUUUCUCCCGAAAAGAAAGACCCAUUUUUUCACAUCAGUUUUCUUCUAGAGAUGUUCUAAGUCUAUAAAUCAUGCAAUACUAUGGUCCCCAAAGAAUUAUUGUGCAAGACAUCCAACAUGCAAGGGAAAGCUGUGCUAUCAUAUGGACUCUUUUAAAAGUAUUUCCUGUUAUGAGGAGUUACCAGUUUACUUUAGAUUGAAGGUCAAACUUUCCGGAUCUGCUUUGACUUGAAAGUAAUAACCAUUUACAAGUGAG